Molecule: ribosomal RNA, 318 nt
Filed under: uncultured eukaryote
Lineage: Eukaryota
Description: partial 18S ribosomal RNA
Rfam family: Eukaryotic small subunit ribosomal RNA
Source: RNAcentral
CCCUUAGAUGUUCUGGGCCGCACGCGCGCUACACUGACGAAGUCAGCGAGCAUGUCCUACGCCGACAGGUGCGGGGAAUCUUGUCAAACUUCGUCGUGAUGGGGAUUGAUUAUUGAAAUUCUUGAUCAUCAACGAGGAAUUCCUAGUAAGCGCAAGUCAGCAGCUUGCGUUGAUUACGUCCCUGCCCUUUGUACACACCGCCCGUCGCUACUACCGAUGGGUGAUCCGGUGAAUGAUUCGGACUUCAGCGGCUCCUCUGGGGUGCGCCGGAGAAAGUUUUGUGAACCUUAUCACUUGGAGGAAGGAGAAGUCGUAACA